RNAcentral lists this ribosomal RNA (253 nucleotides) under uncultured bacterium. Its description in RNAcentral is "partial 16S ribosomal RNA". It matches the Rfam family "Bacterial small subunit ribosomal RNA", at positions 524 to 776 of the family's 1533-position model. The record is from RNAcentral.
UACGUAGGUGGCAAGCGUUGUCCGGAUUUACUGGGCGUAAAGGGCGUGCAGGCGGUCUGUUAAGUCUAGGGUGAAAGCUCCCGGCUCAACUGGGAGGGGUCAGGCGAUACGGCGGGGCUCGAGGCCGGUAGGGGGACGCGGAAUUCCCGGUGUAGUGGUGGAAUGCGUAGAUAUCGGGAGGAACACCAGUGGCGAAGGCGGCGUCCUGGACCGGCACUGACGCUGAGGAGCGAAAGCGUGGGGAGCGAUCCGG